Long non-coding RNA from Apis florea (little honeybee), 1396 nucleotides. Lineage: Eukaryota; Metazoa; Arthropoda; Insecta; Hymenoptera; Apidae. The record is from RefSeq and is a predicted model, not a curated record.
UAUAUACAAUAUAUAUAUAUAUAUAUAUGCGUGCGUGCAUGUGUGUUCAUUGCGUGACGUAACGUUCGACGUGUCGUUUGGCUGCAAAUGAUAAGAUAAAAAAACACGUUUGGAAAUAACAAUGCAAAAAUUUCAAUGUUUGUAACGAUCACGUUUACGCUCAUGAUCAGCCGGCUAUGGCGAUCACGAAGUCGCCAAUCGAUCCUCGUGCCUUGUUUCAUUUCAACCUAGUACAUAUCACGGUAACAGUAAUUGACCUAUUCAACAGCGGAUUGUAAAUGGAUGUGGAAGUAGAACACCUACCGGUAUACAUGUAUUUCCUACAUUGUAGCGAAAGAAUGCAACUUGCCUCAACUCGAUUCUCCCACAAUUUCAACGAUAUAUUGAUUUUAAUUAAACCAGAGAGGGGAAGAAGAAGAAGAAGAAGAAGAAAAACGUCGAUUAAGCGACAAAUUAUCAUUUCAUUAAUAUAAUUUCGUGGUAAUUUCAUUUAGGAGACCUUAGUAGUCCUGUUUGGCUUUUAAAUAUUAACUCCUCGUUCAUUCUCUCUGUUUACAAGUCUCGCUAUAUAUACCGUUUAUAUAAGAGAUGGUUUACACAAAUUAAGCAUAUUAGCGGGAAACGUAUGACAAUAUUAGAUCAAAGUUUAAUUUCCAAAAUUGAAACUGCGAAAAACAAGUCGAUUCGUGAAUUGAUUACGUUAUUAAUUUUCACGAUUUUCUUUUUUAACGCGAUCAGUGGAGACUUUUUCUUCUUCUUCCUCUUCUUCUUUUCCUUUCUUUUCUUUUCGAAGAAUUUCGUUUUCCGCUUUAAUCAUCGUGGAUAAUUUUUCUCUUCAAUCUGUCGAAAAAGAGGAAAACAGGAAAGAAGAAUCGAAAAACUUUUCCUUCUCUCGUCUCGUCUCGAAGACAAAGAAGCAUCGACAAUUUAUACUGGCAAAACUGGUUCUCCGGAAUAUGAAUCUUCCUGUUAUUCCUUCGAACGAGUCACGUGUUUUCGUUUGAUGUCGCGUUAGAAAAAAAAAAAAAGAAAAAUUGAUCUUUGAUCGUCGAUGAAAAUGUUCGUUUUUUUCGCAGCUACUCGUUAAUGGAACACACGAUCGAUCAUCGAUCAUGGACGAAGAAUCCGUGAAGAUCCCGAAGGACGCUUUCCAAAAUUCGCUUACAUCCGAUCAUUGUUAUACGUGAACGUACAACGAAAACAGAUUCGAUUAGGUUCUCGGCUUGUUCGAGGACAAUCGAGGAAUCACAGAUACACGUAAUCUGUUAUGAAACAGAAACCAAUCAGUGUACAAAGUCAACUAAGCAAAUAGUUUUGAGAACCUCUUUUCACGGAACAAUAGCAUGCCAGUUCGUUGCAAGCUCAAGUUACUUAAGUUUGAUAAAGAAAAAGAAAA